GAUUAACGCUGGCGGCAUGCCUUAUGCAUGCAAGUAAAACGGGUCAGUAGCAAUACUGACAAGUUGCGAACGGCUGAGUAUAUGACAGGAAUCUCCCCAAUGGUGUGGAAUACCCCAUCGAAAGAUGGGCUAAUACCGCAUGACCCCGCAAGGGAAAAGCGCUUUACCGCGCGCCGAUGGAUGAGCCUAUCUCCCAUCAGGUAGUUGGUAGGGUAAUUGCCUACCAAGCCUAUGACGGGUACCCGCCCUGAGAGGGGAAACGGGCAGAAUGGGACUGAGACACGGCCCAUACACCUACGGGAGGCAGCAGUGGGGAAUAUUGGACAAUGGGCGCAAGCCUGAUCCAGCCAUGCCGCGUGAGUGAUGAAGGCCCUAGGGUUGUAAAGCUCUUUCACCGGUGAAGAUAAUGACGGUAACCGGAGAAGAAGCCCCGGCUAACUUCGUGCCAGCCGCCGCUGUAA
This 461-nucleotide ribosomal RNA is filed under the name uncultured bacterium. RNAcentral's name for it is "partial 16S ribosomal RNA". It matches the Rfam family "Bacterial small subunit ribosomal RNA", at positions 28 to 523 of the family's 1533-position model. The record is from RNAcentral.